UUUUCUGAAAAAAAGUAAGACUUUCUCAGUUAUCUAUGAAUUAAAGAUAAUUCUAUUUUAAAAGCCCUGUUACUUCCGGUUAAAUACAGUGUAUUCAAUCCAAGCAAUUAUCUCAGCUUUCUCAAGAUGCAUCAAAUUCAUCAGCUCUCACAUCUUACCUAGUAACAUUUGCUGACUAUAAAAUGGAGACCUAUUCAUCUAUGUAUCCUGGGAUCUGGCAUCCACAUUUAACCAUUUUGUUCUUUUCAUUUCUGUAGAGCAUCUGGACAUUCUGCUAAAGGAACUGGUGAGUUACAAACGUAAAACAGAGAACUGGAAAAGUGCUGUGUUGGUUAAAUUUAGAGAAAAUGAACCCUUACAUUGGCCAAAAAAAUUAAACUAGGUAAUCCAUUUUUUAGAAAGCAGCUAGGGUCUCACAGGAAAAGAAGCUCAUGGGCCGGCUUAUGAGUUUCUUCUUAACUGUUUAGAAAGUGAAAGCCCUUUGGCAUUUGCAAAGCGCUUUUCCAAACACGUUGGAAUGAAUAGGUGUAAAUUUAGGAGCCUAGGUACGCCAAGUGAGAAAAUCCAGAGAAGGUUUUCAGCAUUGUUUUUUCUGUCCCUCCACCUUAGACACAAAUCAGGGGGAACAUUUUCUUUCCUGAAAUCCAUUAAGCACAGUAUCACUCAGCCAGGAGGCUGGGCUCCUGGAAGUUUUAGCAGAAGGUUCCAUCCAGGUUUAACACUAGGAUUAAGCUGUGACCUCACCUCCGUGGUAAAUUUAGUAACAGUUUCUAGAGCUCCAGCACCCAGUAGAGCCAAACUUGUCCCUGAGGGAAGCAGGAGCUCAUUGAUGAGUUGAUCCAAAGUUUGUUCAAAAUAAAAAUGAGUAUGUGGUGAAUACCUUCGUCUUAGCGCUUCUAAAUAUUGACAAUUACUAAUUUCUGCAGGAUACAGAGUGGCCAGAAGGAUUUCCUUUUAUGGUUUGAGUAAGGAGGCUCUUUCUUACAGCUGUAGUCGUGGCCGAGUGGUUAAGGCGAUGGACUAGAAAUCCAUUGGGGUCUCCCCGCGCAGGUUCGAGUCCUGCCGACUACGACCGAGGUUUUAUUAUCCAAUAUCCUAGGCCUUAGGUUACUAUGAAACUGGCACAGACCAGCGUUUACCAUUCUCCCUUCUCUAACCCUACUGUGACGGCACACAUAUUCUUCUGUUAAUACCACCGCGCGCUCCCGCGUACUGCCCAAAGAAAAUGAAGUGCCUCAAGCAGUUUGCUCUGCUAGACUUGUAGAACUCCUGCUUCCUCAGCAAGGUGCAAUGCCUGAGCGUCUGUGGUUUUCUCUCCUCCAAAUCCUGCUCAAAGUGUUUUUCCACUCUCACAACGUUGGAUAUUUCUCUAGAGAAGGCUACUUCUCAUCUUUCUGUCUUCUUGACAAGAAGUUAUAAGCCUUGGAAACUACUAUUUGUGUCUUCCAAUCAUUGUGAAGUCUAUAUAAACACUUUUGUCCACAUGAUGGAGGAAGUAGGAAGCGCUGAUAAAACAAUCUGCUCUGGGGUCUCUAUUCAGGAGAAUUGAGAAAUAUCAGGAAAAAUAUCUCCGAAUUCUGCAAAUGGAAGUGGAUCGCCAAGGCAGAUACAAAGGGAAGCCAUCAGUGAUUGCAGAGUUGAUCUAUCAGGAUACAGGCCAUGUAGAAAUAAUCCUAAAGGCACAGAUAGUGUCUAUGAUCAAAUAACAGAGAAUGUCAGUGGAAGAUGAAACACCUAUAAAUUCUGGUGAUUGUACCACAUAGGCAUUAUAAAGCCUCAUUCUCACUGAGCCAAAAGAUAUAUCCAUGAGGAUCUUUCUUCUUCCUCAGAUCUGUUGGAUCCUUUCUCUCCUACAUGAAGUGAGUUCACUACAUUUUAUAAAGCAAUAAAUCGAUGAAAAAGUUCAACUCAACUCAAAAUUAUUAUGGGUAUCAGAAUAUCUGUUGGAGGGGCGGGGCGGGGAAUAGAGUGGAGGAAGUGAGAAGAAUGAUAUGGCAGGGAGUUAGUGGAACCCUCACACCGCCUGAGUCACACUGAGUUCACGUGAACCGGAGAUUCCCUAACAAUCAUCACUAAAAGAGCAAUUUAUUCUAAAAAGAAAAUAAUAAUGACAUAGGUUCCACCGAGAUUUGAACUCGGAUCGCUGGAUUCAGAGUCCAGAGUGCUAACCAUUACACCAUGGAACCAUGCAACAAAAAACGCUUGUUAGCAUUUCUUCCUGAUGGAAUAUAUUCCCAUUUGUGAACUUGUGUUGUUUUCCUUUCUAGAUGCUAAAUUUGCAGAUUGCUUUUCCUUAGCUGCUUCCGUGGCACACGUUCCUCUUCUCUCGCGCACAGGGCUCUUGUACAAAAACCCAAGAGCAAACUGGUUUCCAGAGACAGAUAAGGAACACUUUCGGAAGUUUAAUUCUGUGACAUGUAUAUUGUGGAUGACUUCAUCUGAGCCGGCAAGCCAACCAGUCCUGGCUGUGGCG
This is a non-coding RNA of Microcebus murinus (gray mouse lemur), 2473 nucleotides long. NCBI's taxonomy places the organism in Eukaryota, Metazoa, Chordata, Mammalia, Primates, Cheirogaleidae. The record is from RefSeq and is a predicted model, not a curated record.